Molecule: ribosomal RNA, 328 nt
Filed under: uncultured eukaryote
Lineage: Eukaryota
Description: partial 18S ribosomal RNA
Rfam family: Eukaryotic small subunit ribosomal RNA
Source: RNAcentral
CCCUUAGAUGUCCGGGGCUGCACGCGCGCUACACUGAAGGAAUCAGCGUGCUAAAACCAUUGUCGAAAGGCAUUGGUAAACCCAUUAAAAUCCUACGUGAUUGGGAUCGGGAAUUGCAAUUAUUUCCCUUGAACGAGGAAUUCCCAGUAAGUGUGGGUCAUAAGCUCGCGUUGAUUACGUCCCUGCCCUUUGUACACACCGCCCGUCGCUGCCCGGGACUGAGCCGUUUCGAGAAAAGCGGGGACUGCUGUUGUCGGGGCUUUCGGGCCUUGGCUUCGGUGGAAACCGCUUUAAUCGCAGUGGCUUGAACCGGGCAAAAGUCGUAACA